RNAcentral lists this ribosomal RNA (264 nucleotides) under uncultured archaeon. Its description in RNAcentral is "partial 16S ribosomal RNA". It matches the Rfam family "Archaeal small subunit ribosomal RNA", at positions 714 to 982 of the family's 1478-position model. The record is from RNAcentral.
AGACGUCUACAUUAGAUACCCCCGUAGUCCCAGCCGUAAACAAUGUGCGUUAGGUGUGUCGGUAACCACGUGUUACUGAUGCGCCGAAGAGAAAUCGUGAAACGCACCACCUGGGAAGUACGGUCGCAAGGCUGAAACUUAAAGGAAUUGGCGGGGAGCACCACAACAGGUGGAGCCUGCGGUUUAAUUGGAUUCAACGCCGGGAAGCUCACCGGAUAGGACAGCAGAAUGAUUGCCGGGCUGAAGACUCUGCAUGACUAGCUG